GCAAUUUUAUUUUCUGAACUGAAUAUAAGGAAGUUUCGUUUCUAAGAUGUUAUUCACUUGAUUUCACAUUGUACUCUUUCAAAACUCAGCUGAGGAUGACUUCUGUUGUACAGCUUGAAACCAGCUUCUCCAAGAACCAGCUUUGAAGUAAAAUUAAAGGUUCUAUGCGGACCAGCAGAAUAUCCCUGUCUACAUAUAAUAACAGGAGUUAAAAAUGUUGUUUGACCUAAAUUAAGGG
Molecule: long non-coding RNA, 238 nt
Filed under: Dasypus novemcinctus (nine-banded armadillo)
Lineage: Eukaryota; Metazoa; Chordata; Mammalia; Cingulata; Dasypodidae
Description: lncRNA (ENSDNOG00000051637.1)
Source: RNAcentral